Non-coding RNA from Vicia faba (fava bean), 264 nucleotides. The record is from the annotation of a GenBank genome assembly. Lineage: Eukaryota; Viridiplantae; Streptophyta; Magnoliopsida; Fabales; Fabaceae.
AUGACAACAUUGGUGACUCAAGUUCAAAGCACAUCUUGUUCAAGCACAUUUUUCUCAGCCCUAGUGCAACUCAUUCCUUGUAGGGCAUCAGUUGCUCCUUAUAGUCCAAUUCCACCAAAUGAUGCAUGCUGCAAUGCCCUUAAAGCUUUAGGUCAACCAUGUUUGUGUGUUCUUGUUAAUGGACCUCCGAUAAGUGGCGUUGAUCGUAACAUGGCUUCGCAACUACCGGAAAAGUGUACUUCAAACUUUGAUUCUUGUGUGUGA